Molecule: microRNA precursor, 63 nt
Filed under: Anolis carolinensis (green anole)
Lineage: Eukaryota; Metazoa; Chordata; Lepidosauria; Squamata; Anolidae
Description: Aca-Mir-7-P4_pre stem-loop
Source: RNAcentral
UGGAAGACUAGUGAUUUUGUUGUUCUGACUUAUAAUUUAGACAACAAAUCGUAGCCUGCCGCC